UUAAGGAAUUGACGGGGAGCACCACAACGGGUGGAGCUUGCGGUUUAAUUGGAUUCAACGCCGGAAAUCUUACCGGGACCGACAGCAAUAUGAAGGCCAGGCUGGAGACUUUGCCGGAUUAGCUGAGAGGUGGUGCAUGGCCGUCGUCAGUUCGUACUGUGAAGCAUCCUGUUAAGUCAGGCAACGAGCGAGACCCACGCCCACAGUUGCCAGCGUACUCUCUGGAGUGACGGGUACACUGUGGGGACCGCCGCUGCUAAAGCGGAGGAAGGAAUGGGCAACGGUAGGUCAGUAUGCCCCGAAUAUCCCGGGCUACACGCGAGCUACAAUGGUUGGUACAAUGGGUAUCUACCCCGAAAGGGGACGGGAAUCUCCUAAAACCAAUCUUAGUUCGGAUUGAGGGCUGCAACUCGCCCUCAUGAAGCUGGAAUCCGUAGUAAUCGCGUUUCAACAGAACGCGGUGAAUACGUCCCUGCUCCUU
This 481-nucleotide ribosomal RNA is filed under the name uncultured Methanosaeta sp. Its description in RNAcentral is "bacterial SSU rRNA". It matches the Rfam family "Archaeal small subunit ribosomal RNA", at positions 857 to 1338 of the family's 1478-position model. The record is from RNAcentral. Lineage: Archaea; Methanobacteriati; Methanobacteriota; Methanomicrobia; Methanotrichales; Methanotrichaceae.